GGGAUGAUAGUUUCUAUGUUGUUGCCAAAAAUCGAGAAUAUUGGAGAAAUUUUGAGACAGCUACAGCUAAUUUAAUGGCCUAAACAAAAUAGGGGGCGCUGUAGAGUCCUCUAGCUACACAUGAGAAAAACGACAAAAUAUUCCUAAAUCAUUUUAAAGACUUAUUGAAUCUGCCAAUUAUCAAGAGGCUGAGAGCUUUUCAUAAAUAUGAUAUAAAAUAGGUGGCGCUAGAGAGCUGAUGAAAGACGAAUUUACGAAAUUCCAACUUACGGUCAAAGUAUGGCCUAAGCCAAAUAGCUCUGUAAAAUUUUAGGAGUUUUCAAACAUCCUAACCCCUCCGAAACCCAGCGGGAAACUUUUUAUUUUGCAACUUCCUGUCAAAAUGGCCGACUUCCUGUUGGGCGGAGUCAAAUAAAACCUAGUGAUUCUUGUUGUUUAUGAGGAGGUCAAUGAGCGUACCAAAGUUGGUGCACGUUGGACAAACUUCAUCCCGGCCACUGCCGACAUUUGGGGGCGCUAUAGAGCUCCUGAACAACGCCAAAGUCCAGCCUCUAUGGAACUUUAAAAUUUUCGCCGAGCUUGAGGUCUGUGCCAAAAUGCGUGAGUUUUCGAGUAUCGGAAAUGCCUCAAAAAUGGACGCAAAGAGGCAGAAUAAUAAUAAUAACGAGUUGUCCCCCUGUCACAGGGGGACGUAGGGCCCUCGCACAACAGCGCAAAUCGUACCGGGCCAAACCGAGAAACCGGUAAAAGUAAUUUUGAGGUCUUAUUGAGUGUGCCAAUUUUCAAGAGUUUUCUAUCCUGUUAAACACGUGAAAUAUCCAUUAAAAUACAGGUGGCGCUUUAGCGCUGUUAAAAUACAUAUAUUUGAAAUUCUAAUUCUACAUCAAAGAACAGCCUUAGAUAAGCAGGCCGGUCAAAUUUUGUGAGUUUUUCUCCGUUAUAACCUCCUCAAAACACCUGGCAUUACCUAGGUUUUGACCUCCUGUUUUGAUGUGGCAUCUCACAAAUUCAACCAUCUGCCAUUUCGUCCUCGUUUGAGAUAUCGACUAUUCCUUCACAAUUUAUCAUCAGAUAUGUUCAAUGUUUAUUUUUACCAAAUACCAAGAGAAUUCAACAAAUUUGCUAGGAGUAGUUUGACAAUGUACACAAAAAAUGUGUGUAAAAUGCAGAUAUUUCAAAAUGGCCGACUUCCUGUUGGGCGGAGUCAGUCCUACCAAUGCUGAAAAUGUGUGUAAUGAUGUCUUUUGUGUUUUUGCCAAGUUUCAUGAAUUUUCAAAAAUCUGUUUUCUGACCGUGUCAUGGUUUCACUUUGGUUUAGUGUU
Astyanax mexicanus (Mexican tetra) is the source of this 1322-nucleotide long non-coding RNA. RefSeq lists it as uncharacterized. Lineage: Eukaryota; Metazoa; Chordata; Actinopteri; Characiformes; Acestrorhamphidae. The transcript is spliced from 3 exons. The record is from RefSeq and is a predicted model, not a curated record.